Molecule: non-coding RNA, 633 nt
Organism: Camellia sinensis
Lineage: Eukaryota; Viridiplantae; Streptophyta; Magnoliopsida; Ericales; Theaceae
Source: RefSeq, a predicted model, not a curated record
UUCUUGUUCUCUUGAAAGUAGUUUUUUUGGUUCUAUCUUAUGUUUCCUUUUUUUAUUCUCUCAAUUGAAUCUUAAAAAAUACACUGGUGCAUCACUGAUUUAUCCAAAUAAUGUGGUGGAUUUUAAAAUGAAUUUGAAAUAAGAUUCAUAGAUAUUCGCAGAAUUCGGUGUGUUUCUGGGGUUUGUGUGGGAAGUCAAUGAAAUGGUGAACUUAGUAACACUUGCUUGAUCAAUGGUCACCUAGGCCUAAGGGGGGUGAUGCGGAAGAGUUGAGCUCAACUGUUGAAGUUCCUUGUAAUAGUCUCUCUGUUGGAGAUCAAAUUGUUAUAUUACUUGGAAUUGAUUUAGCAAUAUUUGGUGGUGAACUAUUGUGCCAGGUUGUUGAAGAUGGAUUAUGACCUUGCUUGAGUGCUAAUUGGAAAUGAGAAGAGGUUUGUUCACAUGCAUUUGCAUAUUGUCAUUGGUGAUGCUAUAGUUGUAUUAAACACAUCGUUCCAAUUGGAAUUGACUUGAUUUUAUUUAUUUUUAACUUGGUUUAACUUUAGGUAUUGUUGUACAUAAACUUAAAGUUUGGAUUGUAAGAACAGGACAAAUAGAAUUUAUAUAUAUAUAUUUGGAUGUCAAUGUAUUAAA